Molecule: transfer RNA, 67 nt
Filed under: Physunio superbus
Lineage: Eukaryota; Metazoa; Mollusca; Bivalvia; Unionida; Unionidae
Description: tRNA-Arg
Source: RNAcentral
ACAAAGAUAAGCUUUUAAAGCGACCACGGUUUCGGCCCGUGCCAAGGAUCUACUAAUCCUCUUUGUU